This 3219-nucleotide long non-coding RNA is filed under the name Homo sapiens (human). RNAcentral describes it as "HSALNT0334319". The record is from RNAcentral. Lineage: Eukaryota; Metazoa; Chordata; Mammalia; Primates; Hominidae.
CCUGGCUAAUUUAAGAAAAUUUUUUUGUAGAGGUAGGGUUUCACAACAUUGUUCAAGCUGAUAAUUUAGAUUUAAAUGGCCACAUGUGGCUAGUGGCUCCCAUACUCCGUGGUGAGGUCUAUAAUGUUUCACAAGGGAGGCCUUGAACGGGUGGUGAACAGAUUUAUGCAAAACAACCCUCUAAACUGCAAUCCCAUUGGUAGGUCAGAGCCCAUUUUCUCACCCUUGCAGGCUUGAAGGGGCCCAAGGUUAUUUUCCUUGGAGAUGGCUCCUGGAAGCCUGGGUGGGUUUCCUCACUACCUCCCUACAAAAGCCCCUAGGUGGCUGAGGGGCCCAGAGGAACAGGGAUCUGGCUAGAAAGCACCUGUUCUUAACAAGGGUCCCCAGCAGCCAGGCAGCCCUCCCUCCACAGGGCACGGGGCUGUCGCUGCCUGAAUGAGGGAGAUUUAUGGAAAAUCCCCUCACACAACAGGCGGAUUUUCCAAGCCUCAUUGGUUGUUCUGGUCUGAGCCUUCAUUAAGGGGAACAGGGGACAAUGGAGGAGGUAGGGGUGAGGCCCUGGGUCCAUUCAGCUCUCUAUCCUUUGGCACUGGGAACUCCAUCAAGGCCCCCCCAACCCUUUCCUGGCUUGAGGAAAGGUCACACUCUCUCCCCUUUCAAUAGUAAUAAAAGGCCCCAAAUAUCCAGCAAAGUCAGACUCGGCCUUUGAGGAAUAUCUUUCUUGCAUUUUAAAAGAUUUCCAGAAGAGAUAUUCUUUGGUUUUGCUUUACAAUCCUCUGUGCCUUGUAAUGCACGGUCUUGGAAGUUCCUCCCUACAGCUAACCUAAUUUUAUUACGCUUUAGGCCUGCCUCAGUAGGACUUCUCCUUUAAAGUUACGGCAACAUUUCAAAGUAGCAAGAUCAAUUGUGUGACUUCCCAAUAAAAAUCCUUGAUUGGAAGGAGAAACCACUGGCUACUAGAGCUGGAGGGACCCUAGAGAUUUGCAGUCCGUUCCUCACUGCGCAUUCAGAGAGUGUACCGCCCAAGCAGGUGGUGCCACACUUAGAGCCAGAAUUCAUGCUCCAGGUGGUACCCACCUGUAUACCAGCUGCCUCUGCUGCAGCACAGUCACAUAGAGAUCCAGAGACCCAUUGAGACAACCCUUCCAGAGGAAAGAGCACUGCUUGACCCAGGGGAAUGGAUUUCUAAGAGUGAAUAUUAGGUCUCAUCCCAAAGGCUUUUUGUCUUAAAGCCCCUUCCAGAAAGUACUCAGUAUGUAGUAAGGAGAUCAGUGGGAGUGUCUUAGAGGUAAGACCGAGAGUGGCCCUUUGAAGGUGGCGAGGGAAGAGAAGGGUGAGGCAUUCCCAGGGUUGCAAAGACUCAGGAGGGCUAUGGCAGGGGCCUGGGGCGCUUCCCCUGUGUUGGGGAUGUGACUGAGGCUGGGCAUUGCUCACUGAGUAGAGUCGAUGAGUACAGCCAGUUCCCUAUAAUGGUGGGUGUCCAGGUCCUGGGAGGUGACUCGCCUUGUCGAGGGAAACUGGUGGGAGCAGGAGGUGUUUAUGGUUUUCCCUCUCCUGGGGGCAGCUGGAGUGAGCCAAGUUUACAGUUGCCCAGAACUCUAUAAACACACUUGGUGAGCAUGUGUGCGUAUGUGAGUGCCUGUGCGGGUGAGUGUCCCCUGACAUCUGACUGUCACCCCUGCUGGGCGGCCCUGACCUUCCUGACCUUGUGAGAAAGGAGAGAAGAUGCUAAGCUGAGUGACUUUGCUCUCUUGGGCCUGGUGACACCUACUGAAGGGGUCCGUAAGCCUGGGCUAUGUGGGACCCUGGGGGCCCUGUAGGCUUCCUUGGGAGGAAGGCCUUGAGGGGAUCCUGGAGAGUGGGGAGGAGGAAGGGCAUUCCAGGCCUGGGGAACUGCAGGAGCAAGGAGGUGUGUGUGUGUGUGUGUGUGUGAAAGAGAGAGAUCGGAGCAGGAAAGGGCGAGCCUUACAAGAAAGAGAAACUUUGGGGAAGCCUUUAGAUCUGACCUGAUAGUUCGUAGAGACAUAUUGAAACCCUGUCUGGCACACAGGCCCCACGUGCUUAUUAUCAUUAGUAAUUAUGACACGACACAGAGGUAUUCCCUGGUUUGGUGACUGGGUAGCCUGAGCCCUCCAUAUUCUGGCCAGUGCUGAACAUGGCUGGCAUUAGGGAUAGCUUGUGGUCUCAAUUAGGGGCCAGCAGUGGCCAGGGUUAGGGGUCAAGUGGUAGCCAGGGUAAAGCAAGCUUGUAGUCAAGAUAAAGGGUCAGCUGUGGUUAUGACUGGCUGUUGAUAAGUGGUUGGGGCUAGAGGUCAGAUACUGACAAUGAACAGUUUUCUAUGUAUGAUGCUAACUGCUCUGGAAGCAGCUCACCUUAUCUCGGAGGCAUAAUGAAGAGGCAGGAGCAUUUGUCUGAGAACUAAGAAGACUUGGGUGUUAGCCCUUGUUCUACUCACUUAUUCGCUGGAUCUGACAAAUGCCAAGGACUUUGCCUACGCUGGAUGUGUAGCCGAAGACUGUCCCAGGCUGCUCAGAGGGGCGGAAGCAAACUCGCUGCAUCUCCAGAAGCCCCUCAGAGGUCAGGUUUAAGAUUCUUCCUCCACCUCAGCUGAAAGGAUUCAUCUUGCAGCACGGCCCACCUUGGAACCCUUUGUGUUUGCUGAAACUUUCUUUGUGAUUAUUCUUAUGUCACUGCAUAGCAUGUAAAUGUAUCACACCCCCCCCCCACCCAUUAUUAUUAUCUCCUAGUAUGCACCAGGCACUGGCCAUAAAUUAUUUCUAAUCAUCAUUAAAACUCUACCACGGUUAUCCUCCCUCUAUGGAUAGGAAAACUAAGGCUUGGAGGUUGAAGAGGUCAUGGAUCUUGUCCAAGGUCACUAAACUCAUAAAUGUCACAGUCAAAAUUUGAAUCUAGAUAGAGUUGUCAGCUCCAAAGAAGUUUGCUCAGUCAGUUCUUCCCCAAAUUAGCUUUUUAUCCAAAUUUGCUGAGAAGCUUUUUAAAAAUACAUCUUCUUUACAACAAAGCCAGAGAAAGAAUAAGGCAGCUCUCUGCACAACAAUAUGGUGCUCGUAUAUGCCUAGAACAUCUCCAGGAAGAAGGUGAGUCACUGGCCACCGCUGGCCUCAGGGGAUGGUCUACGGGAGGGGACACAGGAGUGGGAGGGAGACUUGCUUUUUACUAUAUUCUCCAGUACUUAUUGGAUUCCUUCCUUUCCUUCCU